UCUCCUGAUUCCUGACCCUUGCCACGCCCCCUUUGUCUAUUGCAGCCCACCCCAACCCCCUUAAGGUUUCUGAGCCUACCUGGGGGCUGCAGGACCCACACUCAGUCUGCAUCCUGCUUCCCUGCUGCCCCUUGGGUCCUCACAGCAGCUUUUCCGUCUCCUGCCCGCAAGUAACAGCAGAAUACCAGACUUACCGAAGGUUUGAGGGAGAGAAGGAUUAGUCUGCAGUCAAGCAUCGUACAGGCAGCAGCUUAAAAGUAUGUAUGAAAUAGCAGUGUUCCUUAAUUCUACCAACCGUUCUCUGGCUUCAGCUAUGGCCCCCAGAGAGCGCCCUUAGAUGUCUGCCCGGGGUGAGGCUCGUCUCAUCCCGAAGCCCAACAACACAUGCGUAUUUUCUUUUCACUCACCAGUCCCCAUUCCUGCCAUUUCCCUGUGUUUCGGUCUGCAGUCCCUCCCCUCACUAAGAUCUGGGUUUGUCUUCGGGUGUCCAACACUCACGAAUGAAUAGAAGAGUGUGUCCCCCAUGGCAGCAUACUCCAGCAGCAGGAGCUCUGAAGCCAGUUUCCCGCAUCCUUAGGCAGCUGGGGUCGGCUGGAUUUGGUUUAUUUGUUUGGGAUGAAGCAUUCAGUAAAUGUUUGCUGAACGAAUGAGAGAGCUCAUGAGAGGAACUAACUGAGCUUAACAAAUAGUGAGAAAGCAGGAAAUAUUUGUUGAAGAAUAGAACGAAUCAGUGGCUUGGCUCUGGACGCGCAGGCUCAGCGGCCAUAGCUCACGGGCCCAGCCGCUCCGCGGCAUGUGGGAUCUUCCAGGACCAGGGCACGAAGCUGUGUCCCCUGCAUUGGCAGGCGGACUCCCAACCACUGUGCCACCAGGGAAGCCCCAAGGGCAAAGGUUUUGGAGGCAGAAGUGUGCUUGAUGCCUUCAAGAAAUAGGAAGGAGGCCCGUGAGGCCACCAUGGGGAACAGCAUCAGGUACGUCGCAAGGUCGGGUCGGGCAUGACUGGCCUGAGCGACCUACUCACCGCCUUGGAGAUGGAGGGUAAUGGCAGCCCCAGACCCAUCUACUCUGCCAGCCUCAUGGGAACUUCCAGAGAUAAGAAGCAUACAGAAAGAUGAUGAUACAAAGUCAAGCCAAGACCACAAAGAUGCCAGAGCUUCGAACCUCUUCCAACCUCACCCCAUGAUCCAGCUUCUGGUUCAACAUUUGCAAGAGAGGAAACUCACAAACUAGGUGGACUUCAGGGUCUUCCAGAGCUGAGCAAAUGAAGAUGUCCGGGAAGUGACCAUGACAUUGUCUUCUGGGUUGAAGAGCCCUACAACACCAACAGCAGUGUGAUGCUCCGAAGCGAGCGCAGCCACAGGAGUUAACAGCUGCCUUAGAAUUUCCUCACAUUCAUUCGUUCACUUGAGAAUAUUUAAAUUAGAACCAUCUACAUCUGGUCCAGCAAUCUGACUUUCGCAGAGGCCCAAGUAGAUACUGUUGUGGGACAAACAGGACAAUCUCUCCAAUGUCACCCUCGAACGACCAGAGAAGAGCACCCUCAAAUCCCAGACAGUGAUCUGUCAGGCAUGAACUUAGCUAAACUUUUCAAUAGUGAUGUUAUUCAUGUUUUUGGCUGUCAUCACUUCUUGACCGAACAAGCUCAGCAUUGCCGUCAAUCAAUUCCUUGCACAUUUGAUUUUGACAGGAUGUCUGCUUCUUUGAGAACCUGAACUAACACAGGAACCACUAUUCUGCUCUCCUUUAGAGUCCACUCCACCCACUCCCAGAUGUUUCCAGGAGGCAUCUCACAUGUAGAUGGCUGAGAGGUGUAGACAACAGUACUUUGAGAGCCUUGAGGAGCUAAGGGAAUAAAAAUUGGAGUAUUAAAAAAAAAAAGAAAAGAAAAGAAAAAAAAUUGGAGUAUAAGGAUGAUUGAAAAAGAGAGCCUCUAGUAAACUUCCAAUGCAUUGGUUUCAGAUCCUGAAGGUCUACACUUGCACAGCGAAUGUGGAAAUAGAUGAGUCUUCACAUAGAACACAGCUUCCAAUCACCUCCAGCCCUGAAAUGGGAUUAGGUUGAUCCUUGAUUGUUAGAACUUAAACUAUCUCCCAGAAACAAAUAUAAAUUCUCUCUGAGGAAAGAUGGCAUUCCUUUUUUAAAAAAAAAUUUAUUUAAUUUAUUUAUUUUUGGCUGCAUUGGGUCUUCGUUCCUGCACGCAGGCUUUCUCUAGUUGCAUCGAGCGGGGGCUACUCUUUGUUGCGGUGCGCAGGCUUCUCAUUGCAGUGUCUUCUCUUGUCGUGGAGCACGGGCUCUAGGUGCGUGGGCUUCAGUAGUUGUGGCGUGAGGGCUCAGUAAUUGUGGCUCGCGGGCUCUAGAUCGCAGGCUCCGUAGUUGUGGUGCAUGGGCUUAGUUGCUCCGUGGCAUGUGAGAUCUUCCCGUACCAGGACUCGAACCCAUGUCCCCUGCAUUGGCAGGCGGAUUCUUAACCACUGUGCCACCAGGGAAGCCCAAGACGGCAUUCUUGUAGGACUUAAAUUACCCUAUAAUUUUGCAUCUACAAUGUCUGAAAUUCAACAAAAAAUAACCAAGCACACAAUGAGACCAGAUAACAUUACUAAAAUCCAUGAAAAACAUGAGACAAUAGAAACAGAGCCAGAGGAGAUACAGAAAAUGGAGUUGCUGCAGAUUUUAAGAUAAGUGUUCUGACUAUAUUCAAAGAGAUCAAAUACAAGACUGAGAAUUUUGUAGAGAAAAAUGGGUGGCAGGCAUAACAUUUGCUCUGGGAUAGAGGUAAACAAGGUAGACCCCUCUACCUACCUUUGAAGAUUCUUCCCUGAUACCCCAGGUAGUCAAGAUGCUUCUUCCUCCCUCUGGCUCCUAUAUGGGAAUGGUUUUUGUUUUGUUUUGUUAGCUGCCCUUAAUUCACUUCCUAUUCUUCAGUCUCCCCCAGUUUCCUUUUGGAUAUAGUCUGGUGGUAUCGUUAUCAGCUGUCCUCUUCCAGCCAAGGGAACAGCAUAUGACCCAGGCUAGACCAAGGAGACCCUCGCUCUCCCGUGUGGAAAUUGACUCUUGAACUGAACGGCCAAGAUAAAAAAUAGUUGUUUUGUCCAGCAGCUCCUGCCUGGUGACCACCCCUCCCACCCUCCCAUCUCCCCACCUCCCCACCCGCAGAGCUGAUGGGUGCUACCCAUUUUCACCCCUGGUCUCUAUGUGGGGCUCUCCACAUUCUUUCCAUAAGUCCCUUUUUUUGCUUAAUUGUCCCAGUGUCAGUUUCUGUUGCUUGCAAACAAAGAACCCUGAUGUAGCCCCUACUUUAGUUUUAAUCACUUAAAAAGUGUUUAUUGAGCACAUACUAUGCGUCAGGCACCCCCCCCCCCCACUACACAUGGGGGAUGACACAGUAAAAAAAAGAAUAUCUGCCUUCCUGAGGCUCUCAGUAAAAUGGGAAAGAAAACAUUGAAUAACUAGUCCCCCAACAGGCCAUAGAGUGACAAGUGUGACAAAGGUCAAAUUCAGGAUAUUAAGCAAGUGUGUCUCUAGGAUCUUAAUUUAGGUUGGGCCCAAGGAGAUAGCAUAAAGGAUGACACGUGUAAGCAGAGACCUAAAGACUGAGUGAAGAACAUUCCAGGAAGAAGGGACAACCUCUGUAAAGGAAGACCUGAGGCAGGAAGUAGGGUUGCCUGUCUUGACCUGACCUUGGCCUUUGCUCAUUUAUCUGGUGGGACUUGACCAGGCCCAUUCCAGCCUCUUCCUGGUCUGCCACCACCUGGGGCGAUAGUCUUGGUGCAGGAACUCAGCUAUCUUUCUCCAUGGGCUCCCUGCCCUUUAUACUAAGGCUCAAGGCAACAAGUCAAGUCGGUCACCUCCAGUGAAUGUUAGCAAUGUGAGAGGUGUGGUGAAUGCUGAGCUGUACCUCCCUGACCCCCCCUUCAUGACUGAAGGACUCACUCCCCACCCCUGCUGUGAGUGCUGCAGGCAGACAACCUUCAGCUGUCAGUCUUACUUCGAAAGCAGUCAGGUCUGGGGCUCCAUCCCAUGUUCAGAACUCUUGAGACUUCCUUUGAGACUACAUUGUCUCAGCUUCUCCCUCUGCACAAUCCUGCUUCCUCCCCUCCACUUCUACAGGCUCUGGUCCCAACAGUGUUCCCUACGAACGUCCUGCAAGCUAAUCAUCAUCUCAGAUGAUGAUUCACCAGAAUCAAGGGUGAGAAGACUGUGUCUGAGCCUGUCCCAUCCUUACCGCGUUAGCUUAGACCAGCCUCAGUACUUACCACUGCGGUUGGUACCAGGCGCCAUGCCUAUCACACAGAAGGCAGGUCCACAAUAAGUGUUUGUUGAUUCAGACAGUGUAUGGAACUUUCUCUGUAAAUGUUUUUAAAACCCACACAAUUGUCAAUCAUUAUUAUUUAGAGUUGGAAAGGGAAAAAACCAUAAGACAACUCUAGUGAAAAAGUGAAAGAUGAACUUAUAUGUGGAAUCUAAAAAUUUUACAAAUCAAUCUACAUACAAAACAGAAACAGACUCACAGACAUAGAAAACAAACCUCUGAUUACCAAAGGGGAGAGGGAGGGAGUUGGGAGGAUUAAAUUAGGAGUAUGGGAUUAACAGAUACAAAAUACAAUACAUAAAAUAGA
Molecule: long non-coding RNA, 4616 nt
Organism: Physeter macrocephalus (sperm whale)
Lineage: Eukaryota; Metazoa; Chordata; Mammalia; Artiodactyla; Physeteridae
Exons: 5
Source: RefSeq, a predicted model, not a curated record